GGGUCAGUAGGUCGGUCGUGCCACCGGUACGUACUGGUCUCACUGAUUCCUCCUUCCUGAAGAACCGUAAUGCCAUUAAUUUGGUGUUGCGGGGAAACAGGACUGUUACUUUGAAAAAAUUAGAGUGUUUAAGGCAAGCUAACGCUUGAAUACAUUAGCAUGGAAUAAUGAAAUAGGACGAUCGAUCCUAUUUUGUUGGUUUCUAGGAUUGACGUA
Molecule: ribosomal RNA, 216 nt
Filed under: Glomeromycotina sp.
Lineage: Eukaryota; Fungi; Glomeromycota
Description: partial small subunit ribosomal RNA
Rfam family: Eukaryotic small subunit ribosomal RNA (bases 40-216)
Source: RNAcentral